Molecule: unclassified non-coding RNA, 231 nt
Filed under: uncultured fungus
Lineage: Eukaryota; Fungi
Description: sequence contains ITS1, 5.8S rRNA gene
Rfam family: 5.8S ribosomal RNA (bases 183-231)
Source: RNAcentral
UCUCCGUAGGUGAACCUGCGGAGGGAUCAUUACCGAGUGAGGGUUCCGGCCCGACCUCCAACCCUUUGUGUAUCUCGACCCUGUUGCCUCGGGGGCGACCCGGCCUCCGCGUCGGGGCCCCCGGUGGACCCCCCAAUCAAACUCUGCGUCCAUGCGUCGGAGUCGCAAGUAAAUGUAAUCAAAACUUUCAACAACGGAUCUCUUGGUUCUGGCAUCGAUGAAGAACGCAGC